GCCCUCGGUGGUUCAGGUGGCUAGAGCGUCUGCCAAGUAAGCAGGAGAUCCUGGGUUCGAGUCCCGGUCGGGGCA
RNAcentral lists this transfer RNA (75 nucleotides) under Schistocerca americana (American grasshopper). RNAcentral describes it as "tRNA-Thr". It matches the Rfam family "tRNA". Rfam says of the family: Transfer RNA (tRNA) molecules are approximately 80 nucleotides in length. Their secondary structure includes four short double-helical elements and three loops (D, anti-codon, and T loops). Lineage: Eukaryota; Metazoa; Arthropoda; Insecta; Orthoptera; Acrididae. The record is from RNAcentral.